CAGCCGCCACGGUAAUACAGAGGGUGCAAGCGUUAAUCGGAAUUACUGGGCGUAAAGCGCGCGUAGGUGGUUUGUUAAGUUGGAUGUGAAAUCCCCGGGCUCAACCUGGGAACUGCAUCCAAAACUGGCAAGCUAGAGUAUGGUAGAGGGUGGUGGAAUUUCCUGUGUAGCGGUGAAAUGCGUAGAUAUAGGAAGGAACACCAGUGGCGAAGGCGACCACCUGGACUGAUACUGACGCUCAUGCACGAAAGCGUGGGGAGCAAACAGGAUUAGAUACCCCCGUAGUCCCUGUCUCUUAUAC
This 301-nucleotide ribosomal RNA is filed under the name uncultured bacterium. RNAcentral describes it as "partial 16S ribosomal RNA". It matches the Rfam family "Bacterial small subunit ribosomal RNA", at positions 509 to 807 of the family's 1533-position model. The record is from RNAcentral.